UUGACCCUGUUUUUGAGAUGUUUUUCUGUUGAGGUCACUGAAAAUUUUCAGUAGAAGGAAAAUGCUCAGAAUGGUGAGCAGCUUUUUUUGAAAAGCAGUCUUAAGGUGUAAGGAAUAACAAUUUUUAAACAUUUUAUAUUUACUAGGCUAAGCUAUAGAAAUAAUUUAAAGCUUAAACCAGACUCCUAUAUCUUAAUAUAGAGUAAGUUAUUUCUUGUUCUGGUGAAUAAUCUGGGUCUUUGAUUUUGGAAAAAGUAUGUUUAGUGACAUAUUGGAACCAAGAGUUCUAAAAGCACACUAUCUAUAAUGGCUGUGAGAUUUCAGAGUGGCAUAGAGUACCUACAGAAAGUUGAAGGAUGGAAUCUAAGGAUUGGCUCCUUUUUGAGAUCUUAUACAUAGGGGAAGAUAUUAUUUCACUAUGUAUUUUGGUUGUAAUCGUCUCAGUAUAUGUUCUAUUAAUUUUAUCCUUUUAUUACAUAAUGCUAUGGGUUAUUUCAUAUCCAUGGAACUUCAAUAGUAUAAGGUAUGUCUCCCAUAUUCUUGAAAUCCCAGGGGAACACCUUUUCCCCAUAGAAAAUCGUCAGCUAGCAGCUUACCUCUGUCACAGCCAAGAGGAAAUGUUGGACUUAUUUUAGAUAAACACUUCAUAUCACUGUGUACAGACUCCCUUGUGAAACAGUUGUAAGGAAACCAGCUGAGAUAAGAAGACGUCCAAGAGCAAUGUUUAAGCAAGCUCAUAGUAAAGUAGCUGGAACAUUUGAUCACAGCUUCUAAGAGCAGAUGAGACCAGCAGCAAAGUACACAGUGGAAAGAAACUUGCUUCUUCCCUCUGCGUUACCAGUGUGGUGAGAAGGAUAGAAGGUAAUGUAAUACAUGAGAGUCCACGCUUGGCUUGUGUCAAAAGUCAAAAUAAUGUGGUUAAAUUGCAGCAGUUUUUGCUUUUCGCCAAAGCAUCAGGGAAAUACAUGAUGUAUUAAAAUAAAGCUCACCACUGGCAAAAAGACGUAUUGGCCAAAAGGGAAGUGCCUGUGGACUUCAUUAAGAAUUCUGGUUUGGUUUAGCAUACCCCAAACUGGUUUUGAUUUGGGUGUUUUCUUUUGUUCAGUUGUUGGGGUAGGAGUUUCUGUCUUAAGUACACAUACUGGAUUCCAUGAUGUUAGCAAUGAUGGUUUCAAAGAAAACGGGAAAAAAAAAUAACAUAUUGGAAUUUUUUUUUAAAAACCUCCACAAUGGAAGUAGCAGCGCAAACAGGAGGCAUUAGAAGCUGCAAUUUAACACUGGAGGAUAGAAAAAAGUAAGGUCAAGUUAGUGCUGGUAAGUGCAUAUGAAAUUUGCAUCAUCUGGGUGUUUGUUUAGCAAACUAAACUAAUUGUUUCAUCUUUUAUAAAUGAAAUGUUUUUUGACAGGAUCCAUCAUCAUGGAGCCUUACAAAGGCACACCGUGCCUUAAGCAAGCUCUUGCUCAAGUGUCAGAACUGUGCAUGAGCUGCCUUUGAGAAGUUGUCUCAGCCCCUGACAAUAUUGUUAGUGGCAUCAGUUAUUUCUCUACUUCAAAGUCAGUAUUUGAUUAUUAUUUUUUAAUAUAUCAAUCCAUUUGAUUUUUUUUAACAAGGGUGAAAAGCCACGGUUCACAUUCAGUGCAGCAGACGUUGCAAUUUCUCUUUCUAUGCACUGUGAGCAACUAUAUUCUACAACUUUAUAGUUUUGUUUCAGAUUUGGAGGCUUGCCACUAAUUCAUAUUUGUACACUAUUGCUGAAAAAUAAUUGAUGAAUGACAGAAGGAUAUGAACAAAUGGGCGUUCAUCCAGUCCUGGUAUAUAAAUAAACUUCUGAAGACACAAGAAGAUUUACAUGCAUUUCUGGCUCACAGAAACAAAAUCCAUGAUAGAAAACAGACAUUGGAAAGAAACAAGCACUUGCUGGAGUACAUUUACCUUUUUUAAACUUUUUAUUGCAUUUACUUCACAUACAGGACUGAUUAUUGUUCAUGUGAGGAAAUUCAGCCCUUUGCAAGUAUUCGGUGAAAAAUACAAAGCCCAUCUGUGAACAGAUCAGGGAGGCAACAUGUACACUAGUGAAAGAGUGAUUGAAAGAUUGGGUACGUGAAAAACGGGGAGAGGAAAUAAUGUAACAGGAAGAUUUACUGGCAUAUGAUAACAAAUUUAGUGGAAAUUGACCAGAACCUAUUAUACUCCAAGAGUUUAAUAUUAAAUUCACAACUGGGGAAUAUUUUCUUGAAAAAGUUGUAUGAAAGAAGCAGUCUAGUCAUGUAGUGUUAUUUGUGAGUCAAGCAGGAGUCACCUCUAGCAGUACUGAUCAGUAGAGUUUGUGUGUAAUACAUAUUAGGAAUGAAAACCACCACCAUAACAUAGGAUUAGUUAUUAAUGUAACCAAUAUAUAGUUAGAUGGGCAUAAAAUAAUACAUAAUAAUAAAUAAUAAGAUGGAUAUGUUCUACAGUGCAGCAUAGUCAGGUGCUUUGGCCAUCUUUUGGAAGAUUAUAGAUGUAGCCAAACCCUUCCUUGCCACCUUUCUGCAACUUCAGUUGUUCUCUUCAUUAACAUGUGGUAUCGAUUACCUCCUGGGGCAACUCUCCCUGUUGUUUUCACUGUUAAAAGCCUUUCCAAAUUUCCCUUCUUCUGAAUUAGUGAUUUUCAUCCUCUGAAGCAGUCUCUGCAGUGCAGAUCAAGGCAACUUUCAAGUGCAGCACAGGUAAGAUCUGGAGACUUCCACGCCAUCCCUGGAUUCUGUCUCUUUCUUGCUUCCCCUGUGUAUUGCAGGCUGACACCCCAGCCCCAUACAGCCUCCCUGCAUUCUUCAGCUCAUGAUAGCUGCAGUUCCUUCUUCUCUGGUGAGCAGUGGAAAGCAAGCCAUGAGGAUGACAGUAGCAUAGCCUGAUAAGUGAGUUCCAUGAAUGUGGUCCUCUGAGAGUGCCACAACCUUCAUUUUUUGAGAGAUUUUGUCCACCUCUUUGUAUCAUUUUAGCUCCUGUGUGCUUUUUGUCACCCUCAAACCAAUGGUAUAUUCUCAGGACAACUGAAUCCUCAGGUUGUAUCAUUUCAGUAUUGUGUCCCUCAGUAAUCAUCCCUCACCAAUACCCUCCUAUGUUCCCAGCAUUGUUCCUGUUACCAGUAGGUCUACUGGCCAUCAACCACAGUCUCUGCAGGCCUGGUAACAUAAGCCUUUCCUCACAUCUUUUGGAGACUCAUUGUCCUUCAGAAGCCAGAGAGGUGAGGGAGGUGUAAGGGGUCCACAAAGCAGGGGAGAGAGAAGCAGUGGUCGUUCUAAGGGAAGGGCAUUAGGACCAACAUUAGAACCUAAUGUUUUUGUAUGUUUAUGCAUAUAGUUAAAAGGAGCCAUGAGGCUUCCAGCCAAAUUAAGUAAGCAGGUUUUACUUCCUGGGAAGAUUGUUCCUCACACCUCAUAGAAACAUUACAGAAGAAUGAAGAAGCUGCACUGGAAAAUCAAAAAACUGGAUUACAUUUGCAUGCUGUGCUACAGAGAUCUGUUUUAAGGGUAUGAAUGCUGCUAAACUUUAAAUUUAACUCCAGAGGAUGAUGCAAAAAAAUACUGAACGGAGAAGAGUAUUUUUAUUUCAUACCUUUUUGAAGGAUUAAUUAUUGCUUUUUAAAAUCUGCAAGGCGUGUAGGAGUAAAAAUGCACAGCACAGCAUCAAACCCAUUAACGUGCUAAUUCAUUUAGAGGCAAUAUAAAAAAGUGUUUUCACCUAUUACAGUAUUUGCAUCUCCAUGCUGCUCUGUUACAGAACCUGUUAAGCAAGCCAUCUCCUUGGUGUAGUUAAGAACCCCAGAGGGAGUACCAGCCUCAUGGAUCAUGGGAUAUCCCAUCAUGAACAGCAUGGGAGUAGCAUAGAUCAAGAGUGGGAUGACAGGCACUGCAAUCCUCGUCCUGCUCAUGCAAUGCAGUAUUUGGUAACUGCUCGUAAAUUAGCAGGGAAGAUGUAAACAUUAAACGGAAGCUGGAGGGAGGCUCGGGAGUGCUGUGUUCUGCGUGUUCCCUCCAUGGGAGUGUGUCUAUUGUACUGGGCGGCUUGGGAGCGCUGUGUGCUGUGCCACGCUACGGAGAUGUUUGGCUUUGUGGUUAAAAGCAGUCAUGCUGGUUUGGUGAAGCAACUUGGAGCUGGAGCAUGUGCCUUGGGUUAUGUUGGAUUGCUGUAGCUUGUGCUGUGUUCCCAUGGGUUGGUUUAAUGUGCCGGCCCAUAUGGCCUGUAACUGCGCUCUGUUUUUGUGGUAAUCUGAGAGCUGGCAUGGUUCCUGCUUUGCUGUACUUUAACAGGAACUAUCAGGAAAGACAGGAUUGUUUGUGCUGAGUUCAAUUCUGUAAAUAAAACUUAGCAUAAUUAGUAGCUUUCCUUAUUUGGGAGAAUGGAUGUUCGAUUAGAAAGGUGAGGCAAACUUUAUGUUGUAUUCUGAGAAUUAACUGUCACAAUGAGCAAUGCAAAUGUAAUACAUUAGAAUUUAGCUAUUCUGUGAUUAUUCAAGUAAUUUCAUUGUGUUUUCAGUCUCUAUGCUAGUGUGCUCUUUCACCAUCAUUACUUAUGUUCCAGAGAACUGAGACCAGAAUGUUUUGAGAGAAAUUCUAGAAGAUAGUGAGCAACUGGAGAAAAAAAGAAAAAAAGAAAAAAGAAAAAAAAAGAAGAAAAAAAAAGCCUGAGAAUUUCGGGAGCAUGCCUUUGGAACUAAAAGGUGCCUUUUCAAUAAGUUAAUGGUGACAGCCAAGAAUCCUAAAUCUACGAAAGAAAUCCUAUGAUCAGGAUUCAGCUUUUUGAGGUGUCCAGAAAAGAAGAUAUGCUCUUGGAAGCUACAUUGGACUGAAGAUAACUUAGACUGACAUUCCCACAUUCUAAUAUGCACACGCCAUAGCAAAGCGUUGCCUAAAUAAUUCCCGAAUAUUCAAACAUGUAAUCCUGGCCAAGACUGAAAGCUGUUGCUGCUGCAACUUCUGCUGCCUCUACCAACAGUGGCUACAGUCAUAGUGAGCAAUGUGCAUAUAAGAGACAUUGAUCUGGAUGUUUUUGCACCGACUAAAGACGGAGAUAAUGUGUUCUUACGUUUCUUUAUGAAAAAUGGGAGACCACUAAAGAGCGUGAAGAAUCUACACAGGAGAGACGGUGCAGCCCAGGAGGGAGGCCAAGUGAGCAAGCAUGAUAUUCUCUAACACAACCUGCCGCUCCUGCAGUGCAGAGAAUGGUGUGGUCCGAAGAAAGUCAGGUGGGUCCCCACUGCUAGCAUUGGGGCUUCUCCUGGACCUUCUCCCCAGCAACACACUGUCAGCACCACUCACAGCCUGCUCCACUGGGAAGUUCUCCACACCUUGGCAAUGGUACAGCAAUUAACAGGUUAGUUACAGGGGACUAAUGGGAGGGUAAACAGAGCUUAACCAGUCCAGCCUCUAUGCCAAACUGUCAUAAUGUGGCACGUUGUUCUUGGAGGAGGUGGGAAUGGCAACCUGACAAUGACCUGGUGUUUUUUCAAGCGUCUGACUGCAGGAACGCCUACUGAUGAUACACAUGGCAAGGAUAUGUCAGGCAGAUGUGUUGAGUCAUGGACACAGCUCAGGUGAGAGUGUCAGGCAGUGCACUGACAGGGUGCACCCAUAGAGAUCCACUAGCCUGUGCUCAUGCUGGUUCAGCAAUGUCAUUUGAAAUACAGUUGUGUAAGUAUGCAUGGCUGGACUUUUCUUAAAUGCCAUGAAAUUAAUUCAGAAUCAAGGCAGUACAGGUAUGUUGGUAACUGUCAUAUUGUACUAACGCAACCCUACUCAAUUAUUUGAUCAGUUAUUUCACAAUUAUGUUAAUGAAUUACAAUGAAAUUUAAAAAUGCAGUAGAAUAUGUAAAUUUUUUACAAAUGUAAAUCUUUGAUAUUCAAAUGUGCAGUGUUUGUUUGUACCUUAUUACAACUGUAUACAAUGUGGAGUAUGUAGUGUAGGGGAAACAACAUCCUGUCAUAAAUACUUUGGAUCAAAAGUGCAAAUUCCACUUUUAUCUGUGUAGUUUGCAGAACACUGAGAGCUGUGAUCAUUCGUUUACAGAGUAGAUAAAUGUAGGUAGUUUCACAAGUAGGCAAGUUUUAUGCCCUUUUAAGUCUGAUUCCAGAAAAGCCACAGAGAAAGGUAAGGUUUUAUUAAACAGCAAGUCAACUAGAAUAAAAGCAGCAAAUAAUGUGGAAUAGAUGGGAAGUUUGUAGAUACCAAGUAUAGUAAUAUUUAAAGAUCAUACAUAGAGCUGUCUUACUGCUUAGACAAUUGAACGCUAAGUACUGUUACAGUAAAUAGUUUGCUUACUAGAAAAAAAUAAAUACUGAAACAAGCAGUGAAAACUGGUUUAAGUAGACAAUAGUUUUGAAAACCUGUAUGGUACUUCUAUCUGUAUUAUGGUCUCCAACUAUGAGAACAAGCAAGUCUCCAAUAAAUUGAAAUAGGAAUUUUGUGUAUAUCAUCUCAAGGGCAUUAAUUUAAAAUGUCAUACAAUAACUGUAAAGGAUUUGACAUAAACUGAUAGUACUUUAUGGGGGCAGGUGGCAUCCAGCAAAGAAAUCCCGCUCCUGUCAAACUACUUAAUUUCAAUUCAUGCUUAAUACUAAUUCUAUGUUUGUUUUAGCAGGAAUCGCUUGAAAGAUGAUGAACAGUCUAGUUUUACUUCUCCGCUUCUGAACACCAUAGAGGCAGCUGCUUGCAGUCUUGUAAGAACUUGUCCCACAGUGCUACGUAGCCAGGAAUGCAGCCACUCAACACACACAUAGAAGUAUUAUGGAUAAAACCAAUAUAAAUAGUAAGCCAGUAACAUGCCAUGCAGGUAGCCUAGUGUAUGGUGAGAAUUAAAUGGGAAGCAACUUAAAGGAAUUUCAAAGAUGACUAAAGAAAAUGCUUGUAGGAAUGUCAGACUUUCCUCCUCUAUUUACUCCCACAUGACACAGACUGAACAUGCCUGACCAUGCACAUGCAAAGACCAGCAACUGCCAAGACGAAACUCUGUCUUUCUGCAAUGUAUAACAAUUUUGCUGUCCUCAAGCCAGAUUGCUAUCUACUACUUGGCUCAGGAUAAAUGAGAGCAAAAGGCAGACUUCCCACACUAAGAACAGCCUGUUUACUAAACAGCUGGAGCUAAUGAGAACAUAGUACACGAAUGUUUGUGCCUUGUUCUCUUUCUGCUGUAUGCAUUAAUGGUUCUCUGAAGGCAAAAACCUUUAAACAAAUGGAGUCCUGCUGUUUUCUCUGGUCCUCCAGUAUUCAUUGUAGCAGCUCUGGUUCUCUAUACAUGAUUUAUUUUAACAGGUCCUAUGUAUAAAUUUGAGAGUUGGAAAAAAACCACAACCCUGUUCUAAUCAGCAAGCCCCAAACUCUGAAGCACUAGGUAGAGCCCUGCAAGCGUUACCACCUUCUUCUUCUGCAAGAAACACUCUUUCUUAUCUUGCCUGAAAUAGAAGAAAACACAGCUUAAGGCUCAGAAGUUAUGCAGCUGCAAUAAACCUGGGCUGGAACAGAUAACUUACUGUCCCUUCUAGGCAGAUACCAUUAUUUUCCAUAAUCCCUGUGCAGCACUUACAUAUUAGUUUAAUAGGUUCCUUAGAAACUGGCAGAAUGACAUUAUGCUAAAUAAGCAAUAUUUACUAGAAAUUCCUCUGAUCCUUCCCUUGAGGCAUAAUUGAAUAUUACAACUGACUCCUCAAAGGCAGCUGCUCCAUUUCCAAUCCCUUUACUUCUUAGGAAAAUAAUUUUGCAAAAGGAAAAACCUUCAAAUUAUUACUAUUCAGUUGAAAUAACUAUCUUCAGAUACCAAUUUGUGUACCGACUUGGAUGCAGUGUUCCCACUGAUACCUCCUUUUCUGACUUUACAUUGCGAAUAAUUCAUGGAGUGGAACAGGCUGGAGUAGGUAGGCUUUUGCAUUUCACACAACAAAACAAAAAUUACUAAUUGUGUAACUUCAUACUGUGAAAUAUGUUGUUAAUCUUGUAAAAAAAAUCUAU
This is a long non-coding RNA of Apus apus (common swift), 7984 nucleotides long. RefSeq lists it as uncharacterized. The record is from RefSeq and is a predicted model, not a curated record. NCBI's taxonomy places the organism in Eukaryota, Metazoa, Chordata, Aves, Apodiformes, Apodidae. The transcript is spliced from 3 exons.